AUAUUGUCCAUCUUCAGAAGGAUAGAGCACUGAUCUUGAGUUGGUAAAAAAACUGCGGAUUGCAAAAGGAUCCGGCCAGGAAUUACAGGCAAUUGAUGUGGAGGGAUGAUUCCACGUCGGACCAUCUGCCACCUGUAGAUACAUUUCCACAGCGAGCACCCCAACCGUGCAAACUCGCGUCGGAUUCUAUUAUGAGAUCUGGUGUGGUGCCGAAAAUGGCACGACCAUUCCAGGCGUCCAUAUGGAAGAGCCACCAUUUCAGUUAGUCUUUCGCUUCUGAGUUCAGAGUGAUCAAAUCUGUGUAGGAGACCCCAUCUCUAAA
Molecule: non-coding RNA, 322 nt
Organism: Pelobates cultripes (western spadefoot toad)
Lineage: Eukaryota; Metazoa; Chordata; Amphibia; Anura; Pelobatidae
Source: the annotation of a GenBank genome assembly